This is an unclassified non-coding RNA of Pongo abelii (Sumatran orangutan), 148 nucleotides long. It matches the Rfam family "Metazoan signal recognition particle RNA". From Rfam's summary of the family: The signal recognition particle (SRP) is a universally conserved ribonucleoprotein. It is involved in the co-translational targeting of proteins to membranes. Lineage: Eukaryota; Metazoa; Chordata; Mammalia; Primates; Hominidae. The record is from Ensembl.
GCCAGGCAUGGUGGCGCACGCCUGUAAUCCCAGCUACUCGGGAGGCUGAGGCAGGAGAAUUGCUUGAGCCCAAGAGGUGGAGGUUGCAGUGAGCCAAGAUUGUGCCACUGCACUCCAGCCUGGGCAACAGAGUGAGAUUUUGUCUCAA